RNAcentral lists this transfer RNA (74 nucleotides) under Lentisphaerota bacterium. Its description in RNAcentral is "Lentisphaerae bacterium (anaerobic digester metagenome) tRNA-Gly". It matches the Rfam family "tRNA". Rfam says of the family: Transfer RNA (tRNA) molecules are approximately 80 nucleotides in length. Their secondary structure includes four short double-helical elements and three loops (D, anti-codon, and T loops). Lineage: Bacteria; Pseudomonadati; Lentisphaerota. The record is from RNAcentral.
GCGGGCGUAAUUCAAUGGUAGAAUAGGAGCUUGCCAAGCUUCUUACGUGGGUUCGAUUCCCAUCGCCCGCUCCA